RNAcentral lists this transfer RNA (68 nucleotides) under Haemaphysalis sulcata. RNAcentral describes it as "tRNA-Gln". The record is from RNAcentral. Lineage: Eukaryota; Metazoa; Arthropoda; Arachnida; Ixodida; Ixodidae.
UAAUCUUUAGUGUAACAAGCACGAAAAAUUUUGAUUUUUUAGGAAAUAAUUUUGUUUAUUAAGAUUAA